RNAcentral lists this ribosomal RNA (253 nucleotides) under uncultured bacterium. RNAcentral's name for it is "partial 16S ribosomal RNA". It matches the Rfam family "Bacterial small subunit ribosomal RNA", at positions 524 to 776 of the family's 1533-position model. The record is from RNAcentral.
UACGUAGGGGGCUAGCGUUGUCCGGAAUCAUUGGGCGUAAAGAGCGCGUAGGCGGCUAGAUAAGUCCGGUGUGAAAGUCACAGGCUCAACCUGUGAAUGCCGCUGGAAACUGUCUGGCUAGAGUCCGGAAGGGGCGAGUGGAAUUCCUGGUGUAGCGGUGAAAUGCGCAGAUAUCAGGAAGAACACCCGUGGCGAAGGCGGCUCUCUGGGACGGUACUGACGCUGAGACGCGAAAGCGUGAGGAGCGAACAGG